CCUCUCCCCCGCGGCCCGCGCUCAUAUCCCUGUCGGCCAUUUUGUAUCAGAUUACCGCGGCCGCCGGGCCAGUAGUACAUUUUUACAGAAAAAUACAAUUAUAGGGACUAGGAGGUUGUAAAAUGUAUACAUAAAUAACUUGUUUUGGCUGUUAAGCGUAUCUUUAGGCACGUAAAAAGUAAGUAAAUCGCUCUAGAAAUCUGAAGAAUGCUUACUCGGCAAAACCAUCAGUUGGGUUUGGAGAAGAAAUUUCAACGAAGACGUCUUGUGAGAACUUGAAGACAUGAGUAGACGAAAGUGCCUGGCAAAUCCCACUGAUGUGCUUUGUGCGUCUGAACAGAAACCACUGCAGUGAGGCUUGACAUGAUUAUUCCUCAUUCAUUGCCUGCCAGCCUGCCACCCUGCCCAGCCCUCACCCAAAAACAUCACAAGAUGAAGGUGAUCAGUUGCAGCAUUUGCAUAGUAUGAAGGAGUAACGCAACCAAGUGAUCAAUGUAUUCAAAAAGAGUAGAUGAGAGUGCCUGGCAAAUCCCACUGAUGUGCUUUGUGCGUCUGAACAGAAACCACUGCAGUGAGGCUUGACAUGGUUAUCCCUCAUUCAUUGCCUGGUAAUACAGUGGAGAAACGUUGUAAGACUGUCUGCCAGCCUGCCACUCUGCCCAGCCCUCACCCAAAGCAAUCACAAGAUCAAGAAUGAGCUCCUGCUGUUGACGGACAUCCACCAGGCUGUGCAGUGACUGCUGACCAAUAAGGGUUGAAAGGACGGGUAGAGGAGUGGAGGUGGACAUGGAGCCCUUUGUGUUCGACUUCGAAAUACAAGAGGACAUGGAGGACUUCUCGAAGGACUGCCAGGCCGUACUGGCAACAUGUGCCCACCCUAACACUCACACUUUCCCUAAAGUUUUGGUAUCAAGGUCUGUGUCUGGCAGUGCAAUGAACUUGCGCACACCUAGUGGUGUUGCGGUAAGCAACCACUUGGCCAACUGAAACAAAGAUGCGAGGCGAAUUAAUUGUUAUUACCAAAAUAUUGUCAGCAUUUCAGUGCAACAGUGUUUAGAUAAGUACCUAAUAAGCUAGUUGAGCCUGUGGGUUUGUAUUCGAUUUACAACGGCUAACACUCAUAAACAAACAAACACACACCCAGCCACACACACACACACUCCCAACAUUUCCUUUGACUCUCCCACACACUCCAAAACAACUCCAGUUGAGAAAAUGUUCUUUUCUAAUCUCACCAUUACGGUCUUCCUGGAUGAUAUCAGAAUAACAGCCACUCUUGGAAAUGUGUAGUAAAUGUUUUAUUUAUGUACACGUUUAUACUUCAGUUGUUUUCAUUUAGUAUUGUGUUUGCUUUCUUAUCUUAACAAAUAAGAUGCUUCAGAGGCUGAGAGUGCACAUAGUUAAAUGUCUGCACAUAUGUAAUUAUUCAUAUUUUAAUUAAAAGUUUAUUUUUGUGUUUUUUUUGUUUUGUUUGAUUGUCCUGGUCCGUCUUUGGUGGAUUUAAAACUGUGUUUGUCUAAUAAACAAAUUUGAUUUAAUUGAACCAAUUGAAAACAUAGGCUACUUUGGCCUUCCCUUGUCUUUUCCAUUUGGCUAAGUCUUUAAACAGUAAUAUCUGCUAGAAGUAGACCUAUCUACCGGGAGUUGUGGAUGUUUGGGCGCCCUUUGUUAUCAUGACAAGUUUAAAUCAAAGAAAGAUGCAUUUUAUGUUUAUAUUUGGGUUAUCUUAGUUUAACAUGCAGCCUAUGUGAUUAAUCAAAGGUAAGUGCAACAAUACUCAUUAUUUCAAGGUUCUUUGCCGUGAAUUUUAAAGACUGAACAUUGUAGGACU
Molecule: long non-coding RNA, 1831 nt
Organism: Engraulis encrasicolus (European anchovy)
Lineage: Eukaryota; Metazoa; Chordata; Actinopteri; Clupeiformes; Engraulidae
Exons: 8
Source: RefSeq, a predicted model, not a curated record